AUGCAUGCAACUGUCACAUUAUCGGAUAUUCCUCUACAGUACGAGCCUGUUAUAACUGUUGGUGCUAUGGCUAUUAUACGAACUACAUACGUAUGUUCGGAUACCCCAAUAGAUGAAUCAUCUCUUGGUAGUUUGGAAAUGCAUCAAGGUGGAGUGCUAACUCCAAACUGUUCUGCCCUGACUCUUGAUUAUAAACCUUUGAAAGGGUCUGAUAAAUAUUUUGAAGUGAAGUGUCUUGCCCAGGAUUCUAUUAUUGAAAUGGAGUAUAUUGAUCUCAAGAAGCAUACUGCAUACAGAAUAGAGUCUGCCCCUGUGUUUGAUAUGACUGGUAAAGUGGUGGGUUUAAUAUACUCAGCUGGUACUGAUGUUGAUGUGAAGAAUGGGUUUCUGUCCAAAUACAUUAUCUCAUCCUUAAGAUCCAUCUGUAAGAAUACUGACUGGGAGGCAAGACUUAAGAGAAUGGGGGACCUGAAGUAUUCUAACAUGUUUGGCAAUGAAGAAUGA
RNAcentral lists this ribosomal RNA (504 nucleotides) under Triticum aestivum (bread wheat). Its description in RNAcentral is "partial small subunit ribosomal RNA". The record is from RNAcentral. Lineage: Eukaryota; Viridiplantae; Streptophyta; Magnoliopsida; Poales; Poaceae.